RNAcentral lists this long non-coding RNA (311 nucleotides) under Rattus norvegicus (Norway rat). RNAcentral describes it as "long non-coding RNA NONRATT017784". Lineage: Eukaryota; Metazoa; Chordata; Mammalia; Rodentia; Muridae. The record is from RNAcentral.
GCAGGAAUGGGUUGGGAGGAAUGCUAGAACCCUGAAUUGUCUAUUGGGACAGACACAAGCUGGAAGGAACCCGUGCCUCUGGGUGCAUGGAGGAAACAUAAUGAGAUGAGGACUCCAAACCACAGGCUUCCUUCCAAGGAACACACCUGUAGCAUCCCUUCCCCACUGUGAUAGACUGCAUCCCCUCAACUUGGAGGCAAAAUAAUCCUCCCGUUUUACGUCAUCCUCACAGCAAUGAAAUAUGAGCUUAAUAUAGAUGUUGUAUUGUCUUAUGCUUAUUAUAACUUAAUAAAACUCAAUAGAGACUCAAA